Molecule: long non-coding RNA, 232 nt
Organism: Zonotrichia leucophrys gambelii
Lineage: Eukaryota; Metazoa; Chordata; Aves; Passeriformes; Passerellidae
Exons: 3
Source: RefSeq, a predicted model, not a curated record
GGGAAAGGGGAGGAGGCGCCGCCAUCAUGAGCUACGGGUACGGAGAUUGGAAUUCGGGCUCGAGCAGAGGGUACGAGGGCUAUGCCUACGGCUACGGCUGCGGCCCCGAGGGCUCCGGGGGCUUCGGCUUCGGAUCGGCCGCCGGCAAUUCCUGGGAUUUGGGCAAUUCCCAAACCGACGGCAGCACCGAGGGCGGCGACGGCCCCGGGAAAGCGCGGCAGGAACCGGGGGG